RNAcentral lists this ribosomal RNA (406 nucleotides) under uncultured bacterium. RNAcentral's name for it is "partial 16S ribosomal RNA". It matches the Rfam family "Bacterial small subunit ribosomal RNA", at positions 30 to 526 of the family's 1533-position model. The record is from RNAcentral.
AUUGAACGCUGGCGGCAGGCUUAACACAUGCAAGUCGAACGAGUGGCGGACGGGUGAGUAAUGCUUGGGAAACUGCCUGAUGGAGGGGGAUAACUACUGGAAACUGUAGCUAAUACCGCGUACCAUAGGAUGAGCCCAAGUGGGAUUAGGUUGUUGGUGGGGUAACGGCCUACCAAGGUGACGAUCCCUAGCUGGUCUGAGAGGAUGACCAGCCACACUGGAACUGAGAGACGGGCCAGACUCCUACGGGAGGCAGCAGUGGGGAAUAUUGCACAAUGGGCGCAAGCCGGAUGCAGCCAUGCCGCGUGUAUGAAGAAGGCCUUCGGGUUGUAAAGUUCUUUCAGCGGGGAGGCGUUACACGCAGAAGAAGCACCGGCUAACUCCGUGCCAGCAGCCGCGGUAAUUC